This 429-nucleotide ribosomal RNA is filed under the name Chloroflexota bacterium. RNAcentral's name for it is "Chloroflexi bacterium partial 16S ribosomal RNA". It matches the Rfam family "Bacterial small subunit ribosomal RNA", at positions 355 to 776 of the family's 1533-position model. The record is from RNAcentral. Lineage: Bacteria; Bacillati; Chloroflexota.
UGGGGAAUAUUGCACAAUGGGCGCAAGCCUGAUGCAGCCAUGCCGCGUGUAUGAAGAAGGCCUUCGGGUUGUAAAGUACUUUCAGCGGGGAGGAAGGGAGUAAAGUUAAUACCUUUACUCAUUGACGUUACCCGCAGAAGAAGCACCGGCUAACUCCGUGCCAGCAGCCGCGGUAAUACGGAGGGUGCAAGCGUUAAUCGGAAUUACUGGGCGUAAAGCGCACGCAGGCGGUUUGUUAAGUCAGAUGUGAAAUCCCCGGGCUCAACCUGGGAACUGCAUCUGAUACUGGCAAGCUUGAGUCUCGUAGAGGGGGGUAGAAUUCCAGGUGUAGCGGUGAAAUGCGUAGAGAUCUGGAGGAAUACCGGUGGCGAAGGCGGCCCCCUGGACGAAGACUGACGCUCAGGUGCGAAAGCGGGGGGAGCAAACAGG